UACGAAGGGUGCAAGCGUUACUCGGAAUUACUGGGCGUAAAGGGUGUGUAGGUGGUUCGAGUAAGUCAGAUGUAAAAACCCCGGGCUUAACCUGGGAAUGUCGUUUGAUACUGCUCAGCUAGAGUACUAUAGAGGAUAGUGGAAUUUCCAGUGUAGCGGUGAAAUGCGUAGAUAUUGGAAGGAACACCAGUGGCGAAGGCGACUAUCUGGAUAGAUACUGACACUGAAACACGAAAGCAUGGGUAGCAAACAGG
RNAcentral lists this ribosomal RNA (254 nucleotides) under uncultured bacterium. RNAcentral describes it as "partial 16S ribosomal RNA". It matches the Rfam family "Bacterial small subunit ribosomal RNA", at positions 524 to 776 of the family's 1533-position model. The record is from RNAcentral.